UCUGGCUCUGUGGAGCCACGGGAGCGCAUGUACAGCAGCAGCCGGCUGUGUCAUGGGGACAAGAGGCUGAGGUGGAGCAUCGUGUGACCUGUAGCCUGGCAUCUCUGGACUCGCAGGUCUCUUUCCUCUGGCACAUUAGAAUUCCCCUGGGAAUGAAACUGACAGAGCCUUGGGACUGGAGAAGAGGGUCUACAGAUAUGAGCACUUGCUGCACUCACAAAAGACCCAGCACCCACAUCAGUGUUUCACAAUCCUAGGCUCACCUUUCAUUCUUCUUUACCCAAUCAGAGGCUCCAGCUCCUGGACUCCUUUAAGAGAGAAGUCUGCCCUCUGUAGCAGCGGAAGCAUGGAGGAGCUCACAGUGGAGGAGAAUGUGGUGGAAGUACUUUGUGUGGAAUAGGAACCUGGAGUGGAUAUAACCGUGAAAGGUCCUCUCAUAGGGUCUUAUUUCCACCACCUCCCUAAAAGCUAUGCAUGGCCCUGCUAGUUGGGAUGUUCAACCUAUUGACAUUGUGAUAGGAUGUUUUUUGUCUUCAAAGUCCACACUCAAGAACCAUGCAAUUGAAUUACACAAACAAACAAACAAACAAACAAACAAAUCGCAGUAGAAUCUCCAUUAUUGAUAAUUUUGUGUUGGGCUAUAUUCAUAGCUAUCCAG
Molecule: long non-coding RNA, 658 nt
Filed under: Cricetulus griseus (Chinese hamster)
Lineage: Eukaryota; Metazoa; Chordata; Mammalia; Rodentia; Cricetidae
Description: lncRNA (ENSCGRG00015033443.1)
Source: RNAcentral